Molecule: long non-coding RNA, 1518 nt
Filed under: Manacus vitellinus (golden-collared manakin)
Lineage: Eukaryota; Metazoa; Chordata; Aves; Passeriformes; Pipridae
Description: lncRNA (ENSMVIG00005018138.1)
Source: RNAcentral
AACUUGCCAUUGAAUCAUUUAAUAACUAAUUAAAAGUCCGGGAUAAAACAUGCUGUCUACAGCUUUCUGGCAAACAUCCCACUGACUUCAGCAGAGCCAAGAUUUUACCCUUUCCUUGACUGCAGAGCUUGUUUGUUGUCACAUCUUUUACUUUAGCUGUUCUGCGUGGGUUAUGCUAGAUUUUUUUCUCUUAGAUAUGUGUUUUCUUUUCCUUUUGUCAAAUAUUCUCACUUCAGCUCCAGGACAUAGGGUCAACAUGAUGGACCCCAAGUGGUAGUUCAUGACCAGGCUAGCUGUGUUUUGCCCUUGUCCUUUCCUGCUGUGAUCUAGGAGACGACAAGGAGUAGAUGAGAGGGUAGUAGGAUUUUCAGCAGGUAAAGGUCACCUCAAGCAUCACUGUUCAGGCAUGAACUGGACUUGCAUGUCUUUGUUGCCAGAGCUGAGUGGUGCUUACAGAGGUCCCUCUGACCAGCUGGAAAAAGGACAGACAACUGCAGCCUAGAGCAUCAGCUCUUUCACCACCCAGGGCUGAAUGCCAGGAGGAGAAACAGAAUCCUAUAUGUGUAUAUCCUAUAUGUGUAAAUGCUGCUGGUAACAGAAAGAUGUUCCCAUUCUGUCUGUGCAUAUUCUUUGGUAUGUAUUUCUCUGUCUUCCCCUUUUGUACUUACCAGUUGUACCCUCUGUAAUUUUGUUUUCACAGUCCAUCUUAGAAGAGACUUUUGCCAUUUUUGUCUGGAACUGAAUAACUCCAAGAUGCACUCCCACUGCCUGCUUGAAGUGUUUCACACACCUCUAGCGGCAAACCCUCUUCGUUGCCAAGACAACCCCGAAGAAAUACGAAAUCCAGAACAAUACCCUGUGUACGAGGAGCCUCGUAUUCUCUGGUGCACGCGUUCGUUUUGAAUGUCAAGAGAAACGCUGCCCUACCCUCCACAUCGACCCAGGUAAGCCCAGGUAAAGUUAUAGGUGAUGUCUGUGAGAUUGUAGUGACUUAAUUUAGAGACUGUCUUUUGUCCUGGCAGCUGCCAAAGCUUGAGGGCCGGCUCUGAGAGCCUGAGCACUGUAUUCCUGCAGUGCAGCAUUACCUAAGGCUGGACAGGCAGCACCAGGAGGAUUCCUGAGGGCUGUCAUGCAAGUAAGUCAGGGUUGGGGCUCUGACUGCUCUCCCCAGCCAGUGCUGCAUGUAAAGUUGUCUGCAGUGAGCAGGGAAUGCCACGUUGUGAUGAUCUGCCUUUGCAGUGGUUUCUAAAGAUUUCUCAGGCAGCUGAAUGCAAGGUUGUGCAGCCAUAAAGGUCUUUUCGCUCCAUAACUGGGAUUUACUGAGCUGUGCUCUGUCUUUAGGUCAAAGGAAAUAUAAAUGUGACUUAAGCCUCUUUGCUUAAGGUCUUGGCUCAAUGCAGGACAGUGGAAGGUCUGGAGCUUUGGGUUUGUUAAUGCUUAUUUAUUUAACCCCAGUGAAUGAACCUUGGACAAAGGUCCGGGAGGUCAGAAUAAAUAUCUUCAGAGACUCUUAGGACA